Long non-coding RNA from Oreochromis aureus, 825 nucleotides. RefSeq lists it as uncharacterized. The record is from RefSeq and is a predicted model, not a curated record. The transcript has 3 exons. Lineage: Eukaryota; Metazoa; Chordata; Actinopteri; Cichliformes; Cichlidae.
UAUUAGAUAUAAGUUGCUACCAACUGUGCUGCACAUAAGUUCACUGGUUAUCAGCUGCCUUUCAUGUUAAAAGUAGCCAGAGUGAGUAAACAGGCGAAUGCUGCAGUUUUCUGGCGACUUUAGAAAGUACCUCGUGGAGCUAAACUGUUAGCCUUCAUUAGCUCUAGUUGUUAUCAACUGCCUGAAAGUUCAUCUCAAUCUGCUCCCAGAAGUAAGAGCCCUGCAUGUUCCGACCGAGAGACACCAUACCAUUGUCUUCGGCCGUGAUGCACUGACAUCGGUCAGGUUUUUUUGUAUGCUGAAUUGUUCCUGAGGUGGAUUCCUCCGGUGAAAUAGAUGGCGAGCCUUCCCACCUGGACUUAGAGAGACUGAGAUUCGCUUCUUUUCCACUAGAUGAUCUGCUGUACCUUGCGGUGUGGUAGGACUGUAUCACUGACACUUUCACACACAGCUGGUUAUACAUGAGACCACUGACUGACAUUCUCUCACCCCUAUUUUCUUUCACACCCUGGGAAUUUUUGGGACUAUACCCCUUGGACAUUUUUUAUUUGGGACUUUGUUCUACACAACAGCUUAUUAUUCAUUCUCCACAUGUGAAAAGUGUGAGAUUUUCAUUUGAAUGUACAUUGGAGUUGUGUAAUCUGUUUCUAUAAAAGUUAAGGAGUCAGGUUACUAGGGUGCACCCAGCAUUGAAACCCGAGCAUUGAAACCCAACAUUGAAAACCAAAAGUAACACUUGGCCAAGUCAUUGUUUUAGUGGUUUAUGUGUUUUACUUUUCUUUCAUUUUUGUAAGUUUCCUUUAUACCAUUGUAAAGUGUCUUUAA